Molecule: ribosomal RNA, 371 nt
Filed under: uncultured Geobacillus sp.
Lineage: Bacteria; Bacillati; Bacillota; Bacilli; Caryophanales; Anoxybacillaceae
Description: bacterial SSU rRNA
Rfam family: Bacterial small subunit ribosomal RNA
Source: RNAcentral
UUCCCCUUCGGGGGGACAGGGUGACAGGUGGUGCAUGGUUGUCGUCAGCUCGUGUCGUGAGGAUGUUGGGUUAAGUCCCGCAACGAGCGCAACCCUCGCCUCUAGUUGCCAGCAUUCGGUUGGGCACUCUAGAGGGACUGCCGGCGACAAGUCGGAGGAAGGUGGGGAUGACGUCAAAUCAUCAUGCCCCUUAUGACCUGGGCUACACACGUGCUACAAUGGGCGGUACAAAGGGCUGCGAACCCGCGAGGGGGAGCGAAUCCCAAAAAGCCGCUCUCAGUUCGGAUUGCAGGCUGCAACUCGCCUGCAUGAAGCCGGAAUCGCUAGUAAUCGCGGAUCAGCAUGCCGCGGUGAAUACGUUCCCGGGCCUU